CAAAAUACCCUUGUCAUCCAA
This 21-nucleotide microRNA is filed under the name Solanum lycopersicum (tomato). RNAcentral describes it as "sly-miR10534". Lineage: Eukaryota; Viridiplantae; Streptophyta; Magnoliopsida; Solanales; Solanaceae. The record is from miRBase by way of RNAcentral.